AACGAACGCUGGCGGCAUGCCUAACACAUGCGAGUCGAACGAGCCCUUCGGGUCUAGUGGCGCACGGGUGCGUAACGCGUGGGAACCUGCCCUUAGGUUCGGACUAACUCCCCGAAAGGGGUGCUAAUACCGGAUAAUGUCUUCGGACCAAUGAUUUAUCGCCUUUGGAUGGGCCCGCGUUGGAUUAGCUUGUUGGUAGGGUAAAAGCCUACCAAGGCGACGAUCCAUAGCUGGUCUGAGAGGCUGAUCAGCCACACUGAGACGAGGACACGGCCCGGACUCCUACGGAAGGGAGGAGUGGCGAAUAUUGGACAGUGGGGGAAAGCCUGAUCCAGCACUGACGCGUGAGUGAUGUAAGCAGUAGGGUUGAAAAGCUCUUUUACCUGGGAUGGUAAUGACGGUACCGAGUGAGUAAGCUCCGGCUAACUCCGUG
Molecule: ribosomal RNA, 433 nt
Filed under: uncultured bacterium
Lineage: Bacteria
Description: partial 16S ribosomal RNA
Rfam family: Bacterial small subunit ribosomal RNA
Source: RNAcentral